AUCGCCUCGUUCUAGAUUCUACGUCUUCUUCUCAGUCUAAGGGGUGUCCUGAGGUCAUAGCUGUUUCGGUUUAAAUAACUGUUUUAUUGUUCAGAUCACAUUGAACAAUGGUGAAGGCUGUGGCAGUCCUUGGCAGCAGUGAGGGUGUCACUGGAACUAUUUACUUCAGUCAGGAGGGAGAUGGCCCAACCACUGUAACAGCAAAUCUUGCUGGUCUCAAGCCUGGUCUCCACGGUUUCCAUGUCCAUGCCUUGGGGGACACUACAAAUGGUUGCCUGUCUACUGGAGCACAUUUCAAUCCUUUUGGAAAGGAGCAUGGUGCUCCUGAAGAUGAGAAUCGUCAUGCUGGUGAUCUAGGAAAUGUUAAUGUUGGUGAUGAUGGAACUGUCAGCUUCUCUACUACCGACAAGCAGAUUCCUCUGACUGGACCAAACUCCAUCGUAGGAAGGGCAAUUGUUGUCCAUGCUGAUCCUGAUGAUCUUGGAAAAGGUACCCACAAAUCUGUUUUUAUUCCUUGAUUUGAGUUAUUGAUCAUCCAAUUAUUAUGUUUCUCAUACAUUCAACAAACAAACCUUUGUCAUUGCCCCAAAAACUUGAGCAAACUUAACGCAGCUUUUAUAAUUAUACAUGCGUUGUUUGAUCUUCACAACUUACAGUUAUCAUGCUUCCCACGAACAUGAGCAAAUCUUGAUCUAUUCUGUUUUGCCUUUCUUACAUAUUACCGCUAUUCUUUAUUUUAUGCUGAAGCUUUUGAUAUUAUGUUGGCUCACUACGUGUUAUUCGUUGUACUCUUGGGUAGGUGGUCAUGAGCUUAGCAAAACUACUGGAAAUGCUGGUGGCAGAGUAGCAUGUGGUGUUAUUGGCUUGCAAGCAUAAACUUCUAAUCUAAAUCACCGGGAUACAUGAAAAAGUGCGUGUGGUCAUAUGUGGGAGCCUUAGAAUUGUGGAAUAAACGCACCCAUUUAAGUCCGUUUGUUUAGGUCCGGUCUGUACUGGUGAAUUCUGUGUUUUGCUUGUAUCGUAUCUGAUGGCUAUAUGUCGGCACUUGAUGCUUAAUCUAGUUAUUACUUUUGCCUGAAGUUUGUGUUAGUGGUAAUCAUUAUUUCCUCUGUUAUUAGAUUGUGGUAGUCUCUCAGAAAUGCGAGGUUUUUAUGGCGACUAAGUUUUUUUUCCAGCUCUAAACGAUGAUAAUACCUACGAACUAUUUACAAUGUGGAUAAU
Molecule: RNA transcript, 1221 nt
Organism: Abrus precatorius (Indian licorice)
Lineage: Eukaryota; Viridiplantae; Streptophyta; Magnoliopsida; Fabales; Fabaceae
Gene name: superoxide dismutase [Cu-Zn]
Exons: 7
Source: RefSeq, a predicted model, not a curated record